This 313-nucleotide unclassified non-coding RNA is filed under the name Hevea brasiliensis (rubber tree). Lineage: Eukaryota; Viridiplantae; Streptophyta; Magnoliopsida; Malpighiales; Euphorbiaceae. The record is from RNAcentral.
AUCACCUAGUGGACCACAGAGGAGGCAUCCUAAGCAACAAGCUGUUACACCUGGUAGUUCUGGUGUAAGCAGUCAUUUUAGUGAAAAUGUACCGUCUUCAGAAGUUAGCCCCCCUUCAGAGAAUUCAAAUGCACAAAAUGUCAUUGAUGAGUUCUUUCAGCCUGUAAAGCCAGCUCUCGGGCAAAUAGUUAGGCAAAGAUUGGGUGAGGGGAGGAAGGUAACAUGUCGGUUGCUUGGAGUAAUCCUGGAGGAAACGAGCCCAGAGGAACUACAGAAACAAGCUACUGUUCGAUCCUCUGCGCUUGAAGUGUUG